Molecule: ribosomal RNA, 480 nt
Filed under: Peptostreptococcaceae bacterium canine oral taxon 155
Lineage: Bacteria; Bacillati; Bacillota; Clostridia; Peptostreptococcales; Peptostreptococcaceae
Description: bacterial SSU rRNA
Rfam family: Bacterial small subunit ribosomal RNA
Source: RNAcentral
GAGUUUGAUCCUGGCUCAGGAUGAACGCUGGCGGCGUGCCUAACACAUGCAAGUCGAGCGAGAAAUUAGCGGAAGAAACUUCGGUAGAAACUGUUAAUGGGAAGCGGCGGACGGGUGAGUAACGCGUAGGCAACCUGCCCCAUACAGGGGGAUAGCCACUGGAAACGGUGAUUAAUACCUCAUAAAGCUUAAGCUACCCAUGUAGAGUAAGCCAAAGAUUUAUCGGUAUGGGAUGGGCCUGCGUCUGAUUAGCUGGUUGGUGAGGUAACGGCUCACCAAGGCGACGAUCAGUAGCCGACCUGAGAGGGUGAACGGCCACAUUGGAACUGAGACACGGUCCAAACUCCUACGGGAGGCAGCAGUGGGGAAUAUUGCACAAUGGGGGAAACCCUGAUGCAGCAACGCCGUGUGAAUGAAGAAGGCCUUAGGGUCGUAAAAUUCUGUCCUAAGGGAAGAAAAAAAUGACGUACCUAGGAGAGC